Molecule: ribosomal RNA, 521 nt
Filed under: uncultured bacterium
Lineage: Bacteria
Description: bacterial SSU rRNA
Rfam family: Bacterial small subunit ribosomal RNA
Source: RNAcentral
AGAGUUUGAUCAUGGCUCAGAAUGAACGCUGGCGGCGUGCUUUACACAUGCAAGUCGAGCGAGGCCGGGGAGCAAUCCCCGAGUCGAGCGGCGAACGGGUGAGUAACGCGUGGAUGACCUGCCCUUUAGCGUGGAAUAACCCGGGGAAACUCGGGCUAAUACCGCAUAAGACCGAGAGGUGAAAGGGGGCUCGCAAGGGCUCUCGCUGAAGGAGGGGUCCGCGUCCGAUUAGCUAGUUGGUAGGGUAAUGGCCUACCAAGGCCACGAUCGGUAGCCGGCCUGAGAGGGUGAUCGGCCACACUGGAACUGAGACACGGUCCAGACUCCUACGGGAGGCAGCAGUGGGGAAUUUUGCGCAAUGGGCUAACGCCUGACGCAGCAACGCCGCGUGGAGGAUGAAGGUCCUUGGAUUGUAAACUCCUGUCAGCGGGGAAAAAGCGACCGUACCUCAUACGUACGGGAGUUGAUUGUACCCGCAGAGGAAGCCCCGGCUAACUCCGUGCCAGCAGCGGCGGUAAUAC